This 1034-nucleotide ribosomal RNA is filed under the name Anthracoidea globularis. Its description in RNAcentral is "LSU rRNA". It matches the Rfam family "Eukaryotic large subunit ribosomal RNA", at positions 125 to 1057 of the family's 3401-position model. Lineage: Eukaryota; Fungi; Basidiomycota; Ustilaginomycetes; Ustilaginales; Anthracoideaceae. The record is from RNAcentral.
CAUUCUACUGGMGUUCCGYKYYSYAAUCUCAAGARACGKCUAUCCGCUUCGGACCGGGUCCAAGUCUCUUGGAAAAGAGSAUCAUGGAGGGUGAAAAUCCCGUGUAUGACCUGGAGCCACCGAAGUACUGCGAUGCGUUUUUUCUCAGAGUCGAGUUGUUUGGGAAUGCAGCUCAAAAUGGGUGGUAAAUGCCAUCUAAGGCUAAAUACAGGGGAGAGACCGAUAGCGAACAAGUACCGUGAGGGAAAGAUGCAAAGAACUUUGGAAAGAGAGUUAAACAGUACGUGAAAUUGCCAGAAGGGAAGGGUAGGAAGUCAGAGAUGCGGGGGCGCAGCCCAGCCGGAUAUUUGUAGUGGAUAGCCGGUGCAAGCUGCGUGUACUGCAGGCCAACGUCGGUUCUGUGGCGCGGGAAAGCGGGGUCGGGAAUGUGGCAUUUCUUCGGAAGUGUGAUUAGAGACCGGCCUUUUGAGUCUGGACCAGCGACGGGAACCGUAGUUAGCAGCAUGGUGCUCCGGCCUUUGUGGGGGAGGGUUACACCUUCGUCCGGCGGCCGGGGUGUUAGGUCUUCGGGCACUAAUCAUGCUGAGGGCGUUGGCUUAAUGGCCGUCUACCACCCGUCUUGAAACACGGACCAAGGAGUCUAACAUGCCGGCAAGUCUUUGGGCAGCAAACCCGGAAGGCGCAACGAAAGUGAUAACAGGUGGGAUCCCGCAAGGGUGCACCAUCGGCCGCUCCACCGGCUGUUCCUCGGAACAGCCCGCGGAUGUGCGCAAGAGCCGGCCUGUUGGGACCCGAAAGAUGGUGAACUAUGCCUGGAUAGGGCGAAGCCAGAGGAAACUCUGGUGGAGGCUCGUAGCGGUUCUGACGUGCAAAUCGAUCGUUGAAUCUGGGUAUAGGGGCGAAAGACUAAUCGAACCAUCUAGUAGCUGGUUCCUGCCGAAGUUUCCCUCAGGAUAGCAGAAACUCGAAACUCAGUUUUAUGAGGUAAAGCGAAUGAUUAGAGGCCUWGGGGAAGCAAUUUCCUCAACCUWUUC